This 254-nucleotide ribosomal RNA is filed under the name uncultured bacterium. Its description in RNAcentral is "partial 16S ribosomal RNA". It matches the Rfam family "Bacterial small subunit ribosomal RNA", at positions 524 to 776 of the family's 1533-position model. The record is from RNAcentral.
UACGAAGGGGGCUAGCGUUGUUCGGAAUUACUGGGCGUAAAGCGCACGUAGGCGGAUUGUUAAGUUAGGGGGUGAAAUCCCAGGGCUCAACCCUGGAACUGCCUUUAAUACUGGCAAUCUCGAGUCCGAGAGAGGUGAGUGGAAUUCCGAGUGUAGAGGUGAAAUUCGUAGAUAUUCGGAGGAACACCAGUGGCGAAGGCGGCUCACUGGCUCGGUACUGACGCUGAGGUGCGAAAGCGUGGGGAGCAAACAGG